This 232-nucleotide long non-coding RNA is filed under the name Hordeum vulgare. RNAcentral's name for it is "long non-coding RNA (HVUL_LNC012620)". The record is from RNAcentral. Lineage: Eukaryota; Viridiplantae; Streptophyta; Magnoliopsida; Poales; Poaceae.
ACGGCGUUGAGAUGCCACCGCUGCCCGGUCCAGGAGGCCGGACCUAGGAUUUCUCCCGGUGCUUGAGGAGGAGGUCCGGUCAAGGGUCAUGCCAACGCCUCCAAGGAGGUGACGGCACCCUCGGGCGUCGCCGUUGACAGCGCAGGCCGACGCUGCGCGGGGAUUUCGCCCCGACCCAUGAGCAAGGACCUCAGAUGCAGAUGCAGACCGGACAUGACGAAGAACGUUGGAG